Molecule: ribosomal RNA, 506 nt
Filed under: uncultured bacterium
Lineage: Bacteria
Description: partial 16S ribosomal RNA
Rfam family: Bacterial small subunit ribosomal RNA
Source: RNAcentral
AGUGAACGCUGGCGGUAGGCCUAACACAUGCAAGUCGAACGGCAGCACAGGAGAGCUUGCUCUCUGGGUGGCGAGUGGCGGACGGGUGAGGAAUACAUCGGAAUCUACUCUGUCGUGGGGGAUAACGUAGGGAAACUUACGCUAAUACCGCAUACGACCUACGGGUGAAAGCAGGGGACCUUCGGGCCUUGCGCGAUUGAAUGAGCCGAUGUCGGAUUUGCUAGUUGGCGGGGUAAAGGCCCACCAAGGCGACGAUCCGUAGCUGGUCUGAGAGGAUGAUAAGCCACCCUGGAACUGAGACACGGUCCAGACUCCUACGGGAGGCAGCAGUGGGGAAUAUUGGACAAUGGGCGCAAGCCUGAUCCAGCCAUACCGCGUGGGUGAAGAAGGCCUUCGGGUUGUAAAGCCCUUUUGUUGGGAAAGAAAUCCAGCUGGCUAAUACCCGGUUGGGAUGACGGUACCCAAAGAAUAAGCACCGGCUAACUUCGUGCCAGCCGCCGCCGUAA